Molecule: ribosomal RNA, 302 nt
Filed under: uncultured bacterium
Lineage: Bacteria
Description: partial 16S ribosomal RNA
Rfam family: Bacterial small subunit ribosomal RNA
Source: RNAcentral
GCAGUAGCCGCGGGAAAACGUAGGGUGCAAGCGUUAAUCGGAAUUACUGGGCGUAAAGCGUGCGCAGGCGGUUUGUUAAGACAGAUGUGAAAUCCCCGGGCUUAACCUGGGAACUGCAUUUGUGACUGGCGAGCUAGAGUAUGGCAGAGGGGGGUAGAAUUCCACGUGUAGCAGUGAAAUGCGUAGAGAUGUGGAGGAAUACCGAUGGCGAAGGCAGCCCCCUGGGCCAAUACUGACGCUCAUGCACGAAAGCGUGGGGAGCAAACAGGAUUAGAUACCCGCGUAGUCCCUGUCUCUUAUAC